Molecule: ribosomal RNA, 412 nt
Filed under: uncultured bacterium
Lineage: Bacteria
Description: partial 16S ribosomal RNA
Rfam family: Bacterial small subunit ribosomal RNA
Source: RNAcentral
UGGGGAAUUUUGGACAAUGGGCGAAAGCCUGAUCCAGCAAUGCCGCGUGUGUGAAGAAGGCCUUCGGGUUGUAAAGCACUUUUGUCCGGAAAGAAAUCCUUGGCUCUAAUACAGUCGGGGGAUGACGGUACCGGAAGAAUAAGCACCGGCUAACUACGUGCCAGCAGCCGCGGUAAUACGUAGGGUGCAAGCGUUAAUCGGAAUUACUGGGCGUAAAGCGUGCGCAGGCGGUUUGCUAAGACCGAUGUGAAAUCCCCGGGCUCAACCUGGGAACUGCAUUGGUGACUGGCAGGCUAGAGUAUGGCAGAGGGGGGUAGAAUUCCACGUGUAGCAGUGAAAUGCGUAGAGAUGUGGAGGAAUACCGAUGGCGAAGGCAGCCCCCCUGGGCCAAUACUGACGCUCAUGCACGAAA